UACGUAGGGUCCGAGCGUUGUCCGGAAUUAUUGGGCGUAAAGGGCUCGUAGGCGGUUUGUCGCGUCGGGAGUGAAAACUCAGGGCUCAACCCUGAGCGUGCUUCCGAUACGGGCAGACUAGAGGUAUGCAGGGGAGAACGGAAUUCCUGGUGUAGCGGUGGAAUGCGCAGAUAUCAGGAGGAACACCGGUGGCGAAGGCGGUUCUCUGGGCAUUACCUGACGCUGAGGAGCGAAAGCAUGGGGAGCGAUCCGG
Molecule: ribosomal RNA, 253 nt
Filed under: uncultured bacterium
Lineage: Bacteria
Description: partial 16S ribosomal RNA
Rfam family: Bacterial small subunit ribosomal RNA
Source: RNAcentral